UACGUAGGGUGCAAGCGUUGUCCGGAAUUAUUGGGCGUAAAGAGCUCGUAGGCGGUCUGUCGCGUCGGCUGUGAAAACUCGGGGCUCAACCCCGAGCCUGCAGUCGAUACGGGCAGACUAGAGUGCUGUAGGGGAGACUGGAAUUCCUGGUGUAGCGGUGAAAUGCGCAGAUAUCAGGAGGAACACCGGUGGCGAAGGCGGGUCUCUGGGCCGAUACUGACGCUGGAGGAGCGAAAGCGUGGGGAGCGAACAGG
Molecule: ribosomal RNA, 254 nt
Filed under: uncultured bacterium
Lineage: Bacteria
Description: partial 16S ribosomal RNA
Rfam family: Bacterial small subunit ribosomal RNA
Source: RNAcentral